AUAACCUAGAUCCAGAUUUUCUCUUUCUCUCUGUCUUUCUGUAUUCAUCCUUAAAUCAAUGAAGAAGAACAUCGUUCCAUUUGGUGAUGUCGAUUCAAGCCUAAAUCGCCACAAUUUCUGCUCUUACAUCUUUCUCCUUGAUCUAGGGUCCAGACCAUAGACCAUUAAAGGAGGCCGACUAAACUAGGGUUUCGACUACUGAUCUAUUUCUGCACGUAUGUUCUUCAGACAAUCAAGGAUGACGAGCGAUCCAAGCACUCCAAAUAAGUAAGACAACCAAGUUUUGGUAAAUAUCUUCAUUCGUACCUUUUGUGUCAUGAAGGAACCAACUUCGGGCGUACUACAGGUGGCUCAUUUAUUGCUACAAGAAUGCAGAAGCGACCAUUACUUAAUAAAGCUUAAGAAUUGAGGGCAUGCGGAACCUUAAGGAUGUGUUGCUAACUACUGAUGGGGCGGUCUGCCUUCCGAAGAUCUGCAGCCGCGGCAUGAGGAGCGUGUAAUAAUCAUAAGCAACAAAGAUUAGGGAUCAGCACGGUACCCGUUCGGUACUGAAAAACGGGAAAAAGUGGUACCGGUUCUGAAUACACCGGUACUUACCGGUGUUUUACCCGUAAAUACCGGUACCGGUACCGAAAAAUGAAGAAAAUGGGAACCGGUACCGAAUAUACCCAAUAUGGUUUGGUACCGGUACCCGGUACCAAAUGCUCAUCCCUACCAAAGAUAGUGAGAACACUAUUACCGAGGCAGAGAAUGCACUCCACCAAAAUGGCACUUUGGUUCUCAUGGUGAUAAGAUAUUACUUUUGUUACUACUAUGUUUACAUAUUGCAAUUUGCAUAUGCUAGCAUUAUUGUUUUAGCGAAAAGCAGGCAUCCUAGCAGAAAAUAAUCGAAGAGGUCAAAGUUCUUGGAUUCCCAUGGAUUAGAAAUUGAGCAAGAAUUAAUACACUUGAAUGGGAGGAAUGGAAAACAUUCAAAGUCUAAUUAUUCGUUUGGUAGAAUGUAAUAUGUAUGAUGUAAAUACUUUGGUGUUUGGGUUAAGCUUUUGGCUUUCCCUAUAUUAAUAAAGAUUUAGUUUGUCGUCAAAUAAAAGAUAUCGACCAGUAUUUAU
Molecule: long non-coding RNA, 1109 nt
Filed under: Helianthus annuus (common sunflower)
Lineage: Eukaryota; Viridiplantae; Streptophyta; Magnoliopsida; Asterales; Asteraceae
Source: RNAcentral